Molecule: ribosomal RNA, 253 nt
Filed under: uncultured bacterium
Lineage: Bacteria
Description: partial 16S ribosomal RNA
Rfam family: Bacterial small subunit ribosomal RNA
Source: RNAcentral
UACAGAGGGGGCAAGCGUUAUUCGGAAUUAUUGGGCGUAAAGGGCGCGUAGGCGGCUUUGCAAGUGGCGGGUGAAAGCCCUCGGCUUAACCGAGGAACUGCCUGUCAGACUGUGAGGCUUGAGACCGGGAGAGGUGAGUGGAAUUCCCAGUGUAGCGGUGAAAUGCGUAGAUAUUGGGAGGAACACCAGUGGCGAAGGCGGCUCACUGGACCGGAACUGACGCUGAGGCGCGAAAGCGUGGGGAGCAAACAGG